RNAcentral lists this ribosomal RNA (253 nucleotides) under uncultured bacterium. Its description in RNAcentral is "partial 16S ribosomal RNA". It matches the Rfam family "Bacterial small subunit ribosomal RNA", at positions 524 to 776 of the family's 1533-position model. The record is from RNAcentral.
UACGUAGGUGGCAAGCGUUAUCCGGAUUUACUGGGUGUAAAGGGCGUGUAGGCGGGGAAGCAAGUCAGAUGUGAAAAUUAUGGGCUCAACCCAUAACCUGCAUUUGAAACUGUUUUUCUUGAGUGCUGGAGAGGCAAUCGGAAUUCCGUGUGUAGCGGUGAAAUGCGUAGAUAUACGGAGGAACACCAGUGGCGAAGGCGGAUUGCUGGACUGAAACUGACGCUGAGGCGCGAAAGCGUGGGGAGCAAACAGG